CAGCAGCCACGGUAAUACGAAGGAUGCAAGCGUUAAUCGGAAUUACUGGGCGUAAAGCGUGCGUAGGCGGUGAGUUAAGUCUGCUGUGAAAUCCCCGGGCUCAACCUGGGAAUGGCAGUGGAUACUGGCUCGCUAGAGUGUGUCAGAGGAUGGUGGAAUUCCCGGUGUAGCGGUGAAAUGCGUAGAGAUCGGGAGGAACAUCAGUGGCGAAGGCGACCAUCUGGGACAACACUGACGCUGAGGCACGAAAGCGUGGGGAGCAAACAGGAUUAGAUACCCCCGUAGUCCCUGUCUCUUAUAC
This 301-nucleotide ribosomal RNA is filed under the name uncultured bacterium. RNAcentral describes it as "partial 16S ribosomal RNA". It matches the Rfam family "Bacterial small subunit ribosomal RNA", at positions 509 to 807 of the family's 1533-position model. The record is from RNAcentral.